This is a non-coding RNA of Paramuricea clavata, 85 nucleotides long. NCBI's taxonomy places the organism in Eukaryota, Metazoa, Cnidaria, Anthozoa, Malacalcyonacea, Plexauridae. The record is from the annotation of a GenBank genome assembly.
UGGAAUACUAGCCCAAAUGCUCUGCCAACUGAGCUACGCUGUCAGGUCGGUUGCUCAGUUGGCAGAGCAUUGGGCUAGUAUUCCA